This 1025-nucleotide ribosomal RNA is filed under the name uncultured bacterium. Its description in RNAcentral is "bacterial SSU rRNA". It matches the Rfam family "Bacterial small subunit ribosomal RNA", at positions 502 to 1533 of the family's 1533-position model. The record is from RNAcentral.
UCUGUGGCCAGCAGCCGCGGUAAUACAGAGGUGGCAAGCGUUGUUCGGAUUUACUGGGCGUAAAGGGUGCGUAGGAGGUCGUGUGUGUCGGAUGUGAAAUCUUGCUGUUCAUCGGCAAAACUGCAUUCGAAACUACACGACUAGAGUGCAGGAGAGGAGAGCAGAAUUCUCGGUGUAGCGGUGAAAUGCGUUGAUAUCGAGAGGAAUGCCGGUGGUGAAGACGGCUCUCUGGACUGUAACUGACUCUGAGGCACGAAAGCUAGGGGAGCAAACAGGAUUAGAUACCCUGGUAGUCCUAGCCGUAAACGGUGUGCACUUGGUGUGGGAGGAUUUAUCCCCUUCCGUGCCGUAGCUAACGCGUUAAGUGCACCGCCUGGGGAGUACGGCCGCAAGGCUAAAACUCAAAGAAAUUGACGGGGGCCCGCACAAGCGGUGGAGCAUGUGGCUUAAUUCGAUGCAACGCGAAGAACCUUACCAAGGCUUGACAUGCAAUUGCACGACCAAUGAAAGUUGGUCUCCUUCGAGGGUAUUGCACAGGUGCUGCAUGGCUGUCGUCAGCUCGUGCCGUGAGGUGUUUGGUUAAGUCCAGCAACGAGCGCAACCCUUGUGAAUAGUUGCUCGCCCUUUGGGCAGCACUCUAUUCAGACUGCCUGUGAUAAGCAGGAGGAAGGUGGGGAUGACGUCAAGUCCGUAUGGCCUUUAUGCCUUGGGCUGCACACGUGCUACAAUGAAUGGUACAGAAAGAAGCAAGACCGCGAGGUGGAGCUAAUCUCCAAAACCAUUCCCAGUUCGGAUUGGAGUCUGAAACUCGACUCCAUGAAGCCGGAAUCGCUAGUAAUGGCGCAUCAGCUACGGCGCCGUGAAUACGUUCCCGGGCCUUGUACACACCGCCCGUCACAUCAUGAAAGCCGAUUGCACCCGAAAUAGCCGAUUCAACCCGCAAGGGAGAUAGGUUCCUAAGGUGUGGUUGGUGAUUGGGAUGAAGUCGUAACAAGGUAGCCGAAUCUCUGAAGAUCCGCGCUACC